AAGAAAGAGAGAGAAUGAGAGAGAUCCUUAAAAUGAUACUAAACAUUCUUGCGACACCAUAAGCCUUAACUCUGACUCUCUUUCCCUGCCUUUUAUGAAUAACAGAAAAGAGAACUUUUAUCCUGAUCCACCAUAGUUUCUUAGAGAAAAUCCUGCUCCCAAGUAGAGUGCUGGAUUUCCAUCUCAUUCUGGAUGUAGCCGGAAUUGGGUUACAAUCAUUCUGAACCACUGAGUGUGACACAAGUCAAAAUCUUUGUUCCUAGAGAUUGAGAUAUUAGUCAGUGAUGUCUGGCUCUGAAAUGGUUAUUUAUAGAUUGGAACGACCUGAAGCAGCCAGCAGAGUGACAAAUGAGGAAGAGGACAGAAUCCAGCUGAAGAAGCUCUGGAAGAUACCAUUUGAAGUCUGAGUGCUUGAACUCGCAAAGAAAGCACCCCCGGCUCCCAUCGCCCCUCCUAUGGCCUCCUACCUGCAGAGAAGCAGAGCAGGCAUACCCAGUGCCUUAGGCGGGCCAAGCCUAGCACUGUGGGAGCAAAAAACAUGGCUUCAUCGUCAGGGUGAGCUAUGGCCAGAAGGGUCCGGCUUUCGGCUCCCAGCCGUCCUCCCUGCUCCCGACUCUUCACUCGUUCUGAGGAGUUCCAAACCCAGAGGAAGCCCCACGCCCCGACCGCCGCCGCCACACACAAGAGCCACGUUGCUUCCACUAUGGGGUUGAAGCUGAUGGGUGACAGCCAAAGGAGAAAAAGGAAGGAGACUUACAAAGUAAAAACAGAGUGUUCUAGGACCUGCCUCUCAAAGUGACCGCCAUGAACCACCAGCCUCAGCAUGUGAGAUUGCUGAACCUCAGGUGACCCUGCAGAGCAAUGAACAGGGAAUCUCGUUUUCACAGGACUUCCAGAUAAUUCUAGUGCUUGUCAUAGUUUCAGAAACACAGCACUCGAAGAUCAAUUUGAAUAAACUAAAAUAAGAAAAGACGGCAGACAGGGAAGCAAAUGAAGUGUCUUCUGCAGGCUGUUAGCAUGACCUUUUAAGGAUCUUGUUUGUGAUUAAUGAGAGACAUGAGAAGAGACAAGUGAUGUGAAUGAAGAAUCAAAAGGCAUGAUACCUGCACGAUUAGGGAGAUGAUGCACAGACAACACAGAAAGUGGGCAACUGGAAGAAGGAAGAAGAAGAAUGCCAGGACCAUGAUGGACGCAGGAAAGUCAAGGACAGGGUAGGGUGGAGGGCAGCUGAUACGUCGAGAGAGAAUAAGAAAUGGCCUUUUGAACACGUUGAGUAGAAAUUUCCAGGACAGCCUAACCACGGAGGUCUUCAAAUGAUGUCGUGGAAGAUCCAAUGGAGGGAAGGGCAGCAUGCAUUCCUCAUGAAGGGAGGACCAUUCUUUGGGGCUCCACUCUAUUUUCAGUUCCUACAGCAGUAAUGGGCAUAGAACUGGCACUGAAAAAAAAAAAGAAAAAUGUUAAUCAAUGAGGAAGGGACACAUAGUGUGAUGCACAGACCACCUGCCUGCAGGUGCCCUUGGGAGCUUGUUAUAAAUGCAUCUCUAGGACCCACCCAAGCCCUACUUCCCACUCUCUCAGGGUAGACCUUGAAAUACGAACUUUUACCAAGCUAAGAGAUUCUGAGACUUUCUCAAAUUUGAGGCUUUCAAUUAUAAAGACAAAAAAAUCAAAGCAAGGGAGGACUCAAGAUAAAGAAUUUGGAUGAUGUCCACCACUAGGAAAAAGAAGCGUGUAAUGAAGAAAGAGAAGUAAAGUGAACGCAAAAGUGGC
This is a long non-coding RNA of Rhinopithecus bieti (black snub-nosed monkey), 1770 nucleotides long. Lineage: Eukaryota; Metazoa; Chordata; Mammalia; Primates; Cercopithecidae. The record is from Ensembl.